AUUUAUAGUAAAAUGUUGAAACCCUAGAUUCACUAGAAGACAAGAGACUUCAGGCGGUUUGGUCGAAUGCUCGAUCUUGGGGAUCGAGUAAGGAGGGUGCUUCAAAGUUUGCGCCUUUGUGUCUAUGCUCCGAGUGAUCAAUUGGUUGAGUAGAUGCUUCUUCCUCUCCUAUCCGUAUGCUCAGAUGUCUAGUUGAGUGGAGAAUGAGGAGGAUCCGAAGACGCUUUGAUAGCUCAACAAGUCUUGUAGAGUUUGUCACCCUUGAUCGAGUAAAUGGGUCAAGUAGAGGAUCGAGUAGGAGGGGCGAGUAGAUCAAUCAGCUGCUUCAUCUGAGGCUACCUUGAUCGAGUAAAGGGGUCGAGUGAAUUGAUGCCUCUUCUGUAGCUGCCUGGAUCGAGUGAAUGGAUCAAGUAGAGUCCUUUUUAGCUCCUUCUGCACUUGAAAACACACCAAAACAUGC
This 460-nucleotide small RNA is filed under the name Arabidopsis thaliana (thale cress). RNAcentral's name for it is "ATSL096200". Lineage: Eukaryota; Viridiplantae; Streptophyta; Magnoliopsida; Brassicales; Brassicaceae. The record is from RNAcentral.